RNAcentral lists this ribosomal RNA (468 nucleotides) under uncultured bacterium. Its description in RNAcentral is "partial 16S ribosomal RNA". It matches the Rfam family "Bacterial small subunit ribosomal RNA", at positions 28 to 507 of the family's 1533-position model. The record is from RNAcentral.
GACGAACGCUGGCGGCGUGCUUAACACAUGCAAGUCGAACGGAAAGGCCCUGCUUUUGUGGGGGGCUCGAGUGGCGAACGGGUGAGUAACACGGGAGUAACCUGCCCUUGACUUUGGGAUAACUUCAGAGAACUGGGGCUAAUACCGGAUAGGAGCUCCUGCUGCAUGGUGGGCGUUGGAAAGUUUAGGCGGUUGGGGAUGGACUCGCGGCUUAUCAGCUUGUUGGUGGGGGAGUGGCUUACCAAGGCUUUGACGGGUAGCCGGCCUGAGAGGGUGACCGGGCACAUUGGGACUGAGAUACGGCCCAGACUCCUACGGGAGGCAGCAGUGGGGAAUAUUGCACAAUGGGCGGAAGCCUGAUGAAGCAACGCCGCGUGCGGGAUGAGGGCCUUCGGGUUGUAAACCGCUUUCGCCUGUGACGAAGCGUGAGUGACGGUAAUGGGUAAAGAAGCACCGGCUAACUACGUG